UGGGGAAUCUUCCGCAAUGGACGAAAGUCUGACGGAGCAACGCCGCGUGAGUGAAGAAGGUUUUCGGAUCGUAAAACUCUGUCUUUUGGGGCGAACGUGAGUAUGGUGAACAAUCAUAGUCAGUGACGGUACCAAAGGAGGAAGCCACGGCUAACUACGUGCCAGCAGCCGCAGUAAUACGUAGGUGGCAAGCGUUGUCCGGAAUUAUUGGGCGUAAAGAGCGCGUAGGCGGGAUAGUCAGUCUGUUGUAAAGUGCGGGGCUCAACCCCGUGAUGGCAAUGGAAACAGCUAUUCUUGAGUGCAGGAGAGGAAAGUGGAAUUCCCAGUGUAGCGGUGAAAUGCGUAGAUAUUGGGAGGAACACCAGUGGCGAAGGCGACUUUCUGGACUGUGUCUGACGCUGAGGCGCGAAAGCCAGGGGAGCGAACGGGAUUAAAAUACCCCGGUAGUCCUGGCCGUAAACGAUGAGUACUAGGUGUAGGAGGUAUCGACCCCUUCUGUGCCGCAGUUAACACAAUAAGUACUCCGCCUGGGAAGUACGAUCGCAAGAUU
This 550-nucleotide ribosomal RNA is filed under the name uncultured bacterium. RNAcentral describes it as "partial 16S ribosomal RNA". It matches the Rfam family "Bacterial small subunit ribosomal RNA", at positions 355 to 895 of the family's 1533-position model. The record is from RNAcentral.